UAGAUCUCCUCAACAUAUAUAUCUGUCGUUCUUGUUCAGUUAUUUUCAACGACAAGCGUGUUGUUUUCCCUUGUAGGGCCGUCUGCGAGGUUUCUAGUGUGGUAAGUCGACCGGACAGUUUUUCCAUUUCUGACUGUAAAGCAGAUACUUCCUGCUUUAUAGAGGAUUUGAUAUCCACCAAAAGCUGUGCAAAAUCCGACUUAUUAGGUAGGUCAGAAAUAAAUGACCGUAGGGAGGACUGGUCGGACUUAUCGUUUAGUGACGCAGUAUCAGGGCCCAGGGCUGCUUCGUCCGCCAUAUUUGAAUCCUCCGUAUGCUCUGAAUCCUCAGGCAGUUUCCCAAAAAAAAUUUCAAUGUCCUUAUUGUGCUUUCCUCCAACUGGCUUUGGGGUUGACCUGGCAGGCUGGGCUUUCAAAUUUUUCUUCAUUCUGGUAAAAUAAAGUGCUAUGAUAGCAAUAUUUUACAGAGGAUGCCCCGGAGCUCCAAGAAAUGUGUCUGGUUAUAAUGUACAUGUUGACUGGUCUCUUCCUCUUAUAGGACCCUCUCCAGUGAAGAUGCUAAAACCAAAACUGACCAACCCAAAGACCCCACUGCUCCAAACCAAACAGCGUCAUCGGCCAACCACUUGUUAAGGUGCUGCAAAGCUGGAAGCUGAGGAACUAGACAUGAUUCAUCAGUACAAGUGUAAGGCUAAGGAGCUGGACACUAGAAUACAGGAAGGGGGUCCAGUCUUCCAUAAGAAGCCGUCUGUCAAGGAAACCACUAAAGCCAUUGGUUUUGACUUGGAAAUAGAGAAGAGAAUCCAGCAGCAGAAACACCUGAAUGGAACUGCACUGAAAAUUCUUAUGGCAGGUUUAUUUAUGUCAUGUGUCAUUUGGCUCGUAGCCCCUCUGACCACCAAGGAUCAUUAUAGGCCGCUUCCAUCUUUGUUUUCAAUAAGGGAGGGCAGGGGUACAUGAGAAAAAAAUCCAACGGCACAGAAAGGGAAAAGUGAACUGGAUCAUAGUGAGAGGUAGAUAUCAAAGAGAGAACAAUGAAACAAAAUAAAGAAAAGGUGAGAGGAUACUAAGAAAAAUAAAAGAAAGCUCUGAUAAAGAUAAGAGAACUGAGUAAAAAUAGAGGCCUAAAAAAGUACUGGCUGUCAAUGAACUCUUUUCUAUGGGAGAAUAGACACUCCCAUUCUUCAUUUCAACCUAGAGUAUCUUAUCUGCUCUUACAUAAUGGUUUUUCAGAGGGGAUUUUCUUUUUUAAAGUUGCGUUUGCAUCACUGCACUUUGCACUGAAGGGGGAUAUUAUUUUAAAAGAACUGUAUAAAAUGUCUCCUUUAACAGACUAUCAGGAAAAACUGUGGCUUUCCGAAGCUAAAUGGAGAAUCUGAAUAUCCUAGUUGCAUCUUGCAAUACUAUAUAUUCUGGGCCAGUACCCAUUUAAGGUGGGCAGGCUCAGUGGUUGGUAUGAUGGAGCUGGUCUGUAUAGUUCAUAUGUUGGAGGAGCUGUGUUUAACCAUGUGGCUAAAAAUUCCAUCACACCUGUAACUUUGGAGUUGACAGCAGCAUGGCAUUGAUCUGUCUUGUUAUGAGCGUUUCCUAUCAUGGCUAUUGACUGAUUGCCCAUAUUCCAGCUGCAUCUUUCUCUUUUCUAAACGUAGAUAGCUUUUCUGGUUCCAUGAUUCAAGAAGGCUUUGAGCUGGCUACAGCAAAAAGGGCCAAGGAGCGCCAGGAGUUUGAGAAGUGCUUGGCAGAGAUGGAAGCUCAAAAGAGCCUUUUGGAAGAAGAGACCACGAAAGCAACGCAAAGAGGAAGAAGAUCUGUGUAUGGCUACUACUGUGUAUGCUGCAGAGGCAGAGUAAGCCAAGACUGUGUUAGGUGUGGGAAUGGUUUGCCAUCCAAUGGCCUUGUUUAGACCACCUCAUGGGAAUUCUGAUUUGUCCAUGAACCACUAACCUUGUGCUCAUUGGUACCCAACACACCCAUAAAGAAUGAACUACACAGACUGCUGCGGGGGUCGCAUGUUAUGAACUGCACUCAAAUAUUUAAUUAUUUUUUUCUCUCUCCUGUGUUUUAGGUGCACAAGGCACAGCCUAUCAGGAAGUUCAAAGCUGUGGAAGUUAAAGCCAGUGACGUCCCACUUGCUGUCCCCACAUCCCCUAACUUCUCUGACAGGUUUAAGUGCUGAUGUGCUCCCUGUACUAAGCAAAUCCAGAUUUCGUGUAGUGGUUACCUAUUCAUGCCCUGGACCAUACAGUCUAUUGAACAAACAAGUGUCCUUUAAAUAGUGGAAUGAAUCCGGGCUCAGCUCUGCUCAUUGGGGGGGGUUAUAUAAAUACUAUUUUAUAUGGCCUGGAGGGGCCUGUUUUUAGGUCUCCCUGUAUGCGAAUACUUAUGCUUUUAUUAUGCCCUGUAAUAAACUUUGGAAAU
Molecule: long non-coding RNA, 2417 nt
Organism: Xenopus laevis (African clawed frog)
Lineage: Eukaryota; Metazoa; Chordata; Amphibia; Anura; Pipidae
Exons: 2
Source: RefSeq, a predicted model, not a curated record